CGAAUGCUGACAUAAGUAACGAUAAAGCGGGUGAAAAGCCCGCUCGCCGGAAGACCAAGGGUUCCUGUCCAACGUUAAUCGGGGCAGGGUGAGUCGACCCCUAAGGCGAGGCCGAAAGGCGUAGUCGAUGGGAAACAGGUUAAUAUUCCUGUACUUGGUGUUACUGCGAAGGGGGGACGGAGAAGGCUAUGUUGGCCGGGCGACGGUUGUCCCGGUUUAAGCGUGUAGGCUGGUUUUCCAGGCAAAUCCGGAAAAUCAAGGCUGAGGCGUGAUGACGAGGCACUACGGUGCUGAAGCAACAAAUGCCCUGCUUCCAGGAAAAGCCUCUAAGCAUCAGGUAACAUCAAAUCGUACCCCAAACCGACACAGGUGGUCAGGUAGAGAAUACCAAGGCGCUUGAGAGAACUCGGGUGAAGGAACUAGGCAAAAUGGUGCCGUAACUUCGGGAGAAGGCACGCUGAUAUGUAGGUGAAGUCCCUCGCGGAUGGAGCUGAAAUCAGUCGAAGAUACCAGCUGGCUGCAACUGUUUAUUAAAAACACAGCACUGUGCAAACACGAAAGUGGACGUAUACGGUGUGACGCCUGCCCGGUGCCGGAAGGUUAAUUGAUGGGGUCAGCGCAAGCGAAGCUCUUGAUCGAAGCCCCGGUAAACGGCGGCCGUAACUAUAACGGUCCUAAGGUAGCGAAAUUCCUUGUCGGGUAAGUUCCGACCUGCACGAAUGGCGUAAUGAUGGCCAGGCUGUCUCCACCCGAGACUCAGUGAAAUUGAACUCGCUGUGAAGAUGCAGUGUACCCGCGGCAAGACGGAAAGACCCCGUGAACCUUUACUAUAGCUUGACACUGAACAUUGAGCCUUGAUGUGUAGGAUAGGUGGGAGGCUUGGAAGUGUGGACGCCAGUCUGCAUGGAGCCGACCUUGAAAUACCACCCUUUAAUGUUUGAUGUUCUAACGUUGACCCGUGAUCCGGGUUGCGGACAGUGUCUGGUGGGUAGUUUGACUGGGGCGGUCUCCUCCUAAAGAGUAACGGAGGAGCACGAAGGUUGGCUAAUCCUGGUCGGACAUCAGGAGGUUAGUGCAAUGGCAUAAGCCAGCUUGACUGCGAGCGUGACGGCGCGAGCAGGUGCGAAAGCAGGUCAUAGUGAUCCGGUGGUUCUGAAUGGAAGGGCCAUCGCUCAACGGAUAAAAGGUACUCCGGGGAUAACAGGCUGAUACCGCCCAAGAGUUCAUAUCGACGGCGGUGUUUGGCACCUCGAUGUCGGCUCAUCACAUCCUGGGGCUGAAGUAGGUCCCAAGGGUAUGGCUGUUCGCCAUUUAAAGUGGUACGCGAGCUGGGUUUAGAACGUCGUGAGACAGUUCGGUCCCUAUCUGCCGUGGGCGCUGGAGAACUGAGGGGGGCUGCUCCUAGUACGAGAGGACCGGAGUGGACGCAUCACUGGUGUUCGGGUUGUCAUGCCAAUGGCACUGCCCGGUAGCUAAAUGCGGAAGAGAUAAGUGCUGAAAGCAUCUAAGCACGAAACUUGCCCCGAGAUGAGUUCUCCCUGACUCCUUGAGAGUCCUGAAGGAACGUUGAAGACGACGACGUUGAUAGGCCGGGUGUGUAAGCGCAGCGAUGCGUUGAGCUAACCGGUACUAAUGAACCGUGAGG
RNAcentral lists this ribosomal RNA (1645 nucleotides) under Escherichia coli. RNAcentral's name for it is "partial 23S ribosomal RNA". It matches the Rfam family "Bacterial large subunit ribosomal RNA", at positions 1291 to 2915 of the family's 2925-position model. Lineage: Bacteria; Pseudomonadati; Pseudomonadota; Gammaproteobacteria; Enterobacterales; Enterobacteriaceae. The record is from RNAcentral.